AUGGCACUGAGUGGCGCAGUGUGGGUGGGCUGUGGGCUGCAGCUUGAGCGGGGCCUUGGCACCUGCCAUGCCUCACCGGCUGAGGCCUUGGUGGCUGGGGAUGGGCACGGUUUGUGCGUGGAACCCGCCCUGCUCUCGGUGCAUGAAUUCUCGGGGAAACGUGGUUGGAGAACAACAAGAAAUGGUAUGGGAACCGUGGGAAUCAGGCAUUUUGCACAGGAAGUAUUGGGAGAUGUUUUUACUGUAGUCUGCCUGAAGCUGGGACAAAAUUGAACAAACAAGAUGAAUUUGGUGCUUUGGAAAGUGUGAAAGCUGUUCAUGAACUCCAUUCUCCUUUAUCAGGAGAAGUAACUGAAAUUAAUGAAGCUCUUGCAGAAAAUACAGAACUUAUUGACAAAUCUUGUUAUAAAAAUGUUUGGCCGAUCAAGAUGACACUGAGUAACUCUUCAGAACUAGGUGAACUUAACUAGAUGAACUUAUGAGUGAAGAAGCUUAUAAAAAAUACGGAAAAAUCUAUUGAGGAGUGA
RNAcentral lists this long non-coding RNA (527 nucleotides) under Homo sapiens (human). RNAcentral's name for it is "non-protein coding lnc-TNFAIP2-6:1". The record is from RNAcentral. Lineage: Eukaryota; Metazoa; Chordata; Mammalia; Primates; Hominidae.